Molecule: unclassified non-coding RNA, 339 nt
Filed under: soil metagenome
Description: partial contains 5.8S ribosomal RNA, internal transcribed spacer 2, and large subunit ribosomal RNA
Rfam family: 5.8S ribosomal RNA (bases 1-120)
Source: RNAcentral
GAUGAAGAACGUAGCGAAAUGCGAUACGUAGUGUGAAUUGCAGAAUUCAGUGAAUCAUCGAAUCUUUGAAUGCACAUUGCACCUCUCGGUAUUCCGGGAGGUAUGCCUGUUCGAGCGUCAUUUGUACCCUCAAGCUCUGCUUGGUGUUGGGUGUUUGUUCCGCCUCUGUGUGUGAACUCGCCUCAAAACAAUUGGCAGCCGGCGUACUUGUUUCGGAGCGCAGCACAUUUUGCGAUCCAGAUCAACGUACAGCGGCAUCCAAGAAGCCUUAUUUAACGCUCUUGACCUCGGAUCAGGUAGGGAUACCCGCUGAACUUAAGCAUAUCAAUAAGCGGAGGA